RNAcentral lists this ribosomal RNA (707 nucleotides) under Salmonella enterica. RNAcentral's name for it is "bacterial LSU rRNA". It matches the Rfam family "Bacterial large subunit ribosomal RNA", at positions 711 to 1330 of the family's 2925-position model. Lineage: Bacteria; Pseudomonadati; Pseudomonadota; Gammaproteobacteria; Enterobacterales; Enterobacteriaceae. RNAcentral also lists the same sequence under 3 other names. The record is from RNAcentral.
AGACCCGAAACCCGGUGAUCUAGCCAUGGGCAGGUUGAAGGUUGGGUAACACUAACUGGAGGACCGAACCGACUAAUGUUGAAAAAUUAGCGGAUGACCUGUGGCUGGGGGUGAAAGGCCAAUCAAACCGGGAGAUAGCUGGUUCUCCCCGAAAGCUAUUUAGGUAGCGCCUCGUGAAUUCAUCUCCGGGGGUAGAGCACUGUUUCGGCUAGGGGGCCAUCCCGGCUUACCAACCCGAUGCAAACUGCGAAUACCGGAGAAUGUUAUCACGGGAGACACACGGCGGGUGCUAACGUCCGUCGUGAAGAGGGAAACAACCCAGACCGCCAGCUAAGGUCCCAAAGUCAUGGUUAAGUGGGAAACGAUGUGGGAAGGCCCAGACAGCCAGGAUGUUGGCUUAGAAGCAGCCAUCAUUUAAAGAAAGCGUAAUAGCUCACUGGUCGAGUCGGCCUGCGCGGAAGAUGUAACGGGGCUAAACCAUGCACCGAAGCUGCGGCAGCGAACGUAUCACCCAAGACAACUUUACGGAGUUGACGAUUGACGGAGCGAAGCGACGUCAAAGCGUUCAUUAAAGUCGAGUUGGCUUAGGGAUACGUUCGUUGGGUAGGGGAGCGUUCUGUAAGCCUGUGAAGGUGUGUCGUGAGGCAUGCUGGAGGUAUCAGAAGUGCGAAUGCUGACAUAAGUAACGAUAAAGCGGGUGAAAAGCC